Molecule: long non-coding RNA, 1122 nt
Organism: Clupea harengus (Atlantic herring)
Lineage: Eukaryota; Metazoa; Chordata; Actinopteri; Clupeiformes; Clupeidae
Source: Ensembl
GGAAGACUAGGACCAGGACCAAGUCAUACAUUCAACUCCAGCCAGAACCCGAUCACAAAGAUCUUGACCACAGUUAUGGACCAAACAGAGACUAAAGUGCAGUCUGCAUGUCCACAGAAGCAAUCUGCAAAGAGCAGAUCCAAGUCCACAGAGGAGGAAAAUCGAUCGAAGAAGGUAUGCUCUAAAUGAAAUGGCCAUAGCAUGCAGUAGGACCGAAUAACAAACUCUGAGACAUUCCACACUCCCCAGAAGUCUCUCCCGGUGCAGACCGACAUUGAGAAUAUCAAGAUGGAUUCAGCACCGCCUACGUCCUAAAACACACAUCUCUCCAAGUGCAGAAUCCAGUUGAGAGCAAUAGAGAAAACAAUUUAACAUUAACGUUCAAUAUCUUAUGCUCAUUUGUAACUUAUGUUGGGUUCUUCAUCAACCAUGGUACUGUGAGCCUUAAUUUGAAUAACACUGAUGCUCUUAAUAAACUUGAUCAAUAAAAGUGUUAAAUAGAUGCACCCUAUUCUCUCGUGCAGAUUCUACUUUAUUUAUAUUCCUGAUUUUACCGUCCAGUUGGGGUCUGUUCCAUGGGGUUCAUGGUCCGACCUUCAUGUGUGGGGCCUAGUAGUAGUCCUGUGCGCAGAGAGCCAGUGACUACAGGGAUGACCACUGAGUGAGGGGUCUGAGUUGGGUAAAAGGUAAUUUGGUCAUGUGUAUCCUGAAGCUUAUGGUCACCAACAGUAAAAUGGUCUUUUGAUCAUGUCUAUCGCCCGACUGUACAAGACAGUCAUGAUUAGCAACUAUGAUUAGAAUAGAAGGUGUAUUUCACUAAUGGGACAGGAAUCUGCAUUAGAGUGGUAUUACAAUAUCAACUUUGUAUGGUGGAUCACCACCUUUGUAAGUUCACUGAGACCAAUUUAUCUGACUCCAUUACAUUAUACUGUUAUUUGUUAUUUGUCAUUAUACUGACAUUCUGUUUGUUAAUCUUGUUGUGCUACAAAGACAAAGCUAAUAUGAAUGAUGUCUGGCCCAGGGUUCUGAUGAUAUUCGUGUUUUAUUCAAAGUUUCAGUUUUGGGUGACCAUCUUUUUAACUGUGGAGAGUCAAUGGAUGUAUUCGUAAUAAUAAAGAAUGC